Perognathus longimembris pacificus (Pacific pocket mouse) is the source of this 992-nucleotide long non-coding RNA. RefSeq lists it as uncharacterized. NCBI's taxonomy places the organism in Eukaryota, Metazoa, Chordata, Mammalia, Rodentia, Heteromyidae. The transcript is spliced from 2 exons. The record is from RefSeq and is a predicted model, not a curated record.
CACUCGGAGGUUCUUAAAAGCCAGCAGAGAAGUGUUUCCUGGCCUGGACUGUUGUCUACAGAAGUGAGAGAAUAUGAGGCAUGGAGCCAUCUCUCCUUUCAAGGUGGCACUACUAGAGAUACUCAGACUCACCUCUUCUUCCCCUCCAUCUCAUUCCUGCUUUCCUGUAGUCCCGGGGAUCAUGAGGUUCUGGGGUACCCACCCUCAUUCCAUUCCUUUUGUGCUGUGUGAUGGUAGCCUGGGCCCUGAGCUAUGAUGGUCAGGAUUGAGGUCUCAGGGCCUCUUUCCUAGAGAAGUAGCUAAGAAAGUGGCCAAGGGAUGUGGAUGGAAGAGAUGAGAAGCUACUUGCCCAGGAGAGGUGGGAAGAGAGAGAAGCUCUUUGCAGGGGGGUGACAGGGCACUUGGGACCCUCGCAACCAUGGACAGGUUAGGCUUGGGGCAUUGGAAUUGGACGCCAGGUACUGGACUUGGGUCACUUGCCUGGAUCCUGUCCCCUGACCUCCCCUGCCUUUGCUCUCCUUUCUACAGAGACUUAAGAACCCAUUCUGCUUUUGAUGCACUCACAAAAAUAAAGUUGCGAAUAAUCCCUAGAGAGGAAGACGAAUAAACAAGCUUUAAAAAUGCAAAAGGAAAUGUGUCCUUUAUUAAAAAAGAAAAAAAAAAGAAGUGGAAAAAAAUGCAGAGGAGGGCCACAGCCAACUCCCUUGAGUGAAAGUUUCCAGCUGUUGAGACAGAAGGUCCCAGCGUCCUCAGGGCACUGGGGGGAACCCAAGGGUGAGAAGUUGCAGUCCGGGCUCAGUAUGGGUUCAACUCAGAGUUAGGGUCCAGCUCAGUGGCCACCAUGAGGGAUCCAAGUCUUUCUUCAAUUUUCUCCAUCCUGAGGACAGCUCUGCUAUGGGAACCAGGCAAAGACAACAGAGGGCUGCUGUACCUGGAAGAGUAGGGCUAAGAAAGAGAUUUCAACAGGCACGAAGUACAGAGAUGCCUGGGAC